Molecule: non-coding RNA, 45 nt
Organism: Astyanax mexicanus (Mexican tetra)
Lineage: Eukaryota; Metazoa; Chordata; Actinopteri; Characiformes; Acestrorhamphidae
Source: Rfam
ACAAAGGCUCUUUUAAGGGCCGCCCUCAUAAUCUGUAAAAGAGCA